GGCAUGGUGGCGCAGUUGGUAGCACUGCAUUCUAGCAGCAAGAUGUUGGUGUGUUCAAUUCUGGCCUGGGCCC
Gymnothorax javanicus (giant moray) is the source of this 73-nucleotide non-coding RNA. The record is from the annotation of a GenBank genome assembly. Lineage: Eukaryota; Metazoa; Chordata; Actinopteri; Anguilliformes; Muraenidae.